AAAUGCGAUAAGUAAUGUGAAUUGCAGAAUUCAGUGAAUCAUCGAAUCUUUGAACGCACCUUGCGCUCCUUGGUAUUCCUUAGAGCAUGCCUGUUUGAGUAUCAUGAAAUCUUCAAAGUAAAUCUUUUGUUAACUCAAUUGGUUUCUACUUUGGUAUUGGAGGUCUUUGCAGCUUCACACCUGCUCCUCUUUGUUCAUUAGCUGGAUCUCAGUGUUAUGCUUGGUUCCACUCGGCGUGAUAAGUUAUCUAUCGCUGAGGACACUGUAAAAGGUGGCCAAGGUAAAUGCAGAUGAACCGCUUCUAAUAGUCCAUUGACUUGGACAAUACUUUUAUGAUCUGAUCUCAAAUCAGGUAGGACUACCCGCUGAACUUAAGC
Molecule: unclassified non-coding RNA, 377 nt
Filed under: plant metagenome
Description: partial contains 5.8S ribosomal RNA, internal transcribed spacer 2, and large subunit ribosomal RNA
Rfam family: 5.8S ribosomal RNA (bases 1-104)
Source: RNAcentral